This 272-nucleotide unclassified non-coding RNA is filed under the name fungal sp. RNAcentral's name for it is "partial internal transcribed spacer region". The stretch from base 1 to 46 matches the Rfam family "Eukaryotic small subunit ribosomal RNA", at positions 1786 to 1831 of the family's 1831-position model. The record is from RNAcentral. Lineage: Eukaryota; Fungi.
AAGUCGUAACAAGGUUUCCGUAGGUGAACCUGCGGAAGGAUCAUUCUUGUAUAACUAAACCACUUUCCAGUGGCAAACUUUGUGAACUAAAAUCUUAAACUGCAUCAGAGUUGGUGUGGCGGCAAUGGUGGCUUUGGUAGGGUAACCUCUCGCCAAGGUCAAGUAUGUUGCUACACCACAUGUUGCACAAUCAACACAUUGUAUAAACCUUGAAACUUACACUGUAAAUAAUAAAUUAAAUACAACUUUUAGCAACGGAUCUCUAGGCUCUC